CCUACGGGAGGCAGCAGUGGGGAAUAUUGGACAAUGGGGGCAACCCUGAUCCAGCCAUGCCGCGUGUGUGAAGAAGGCCCUCGGGUUGUAAAGCACUUUCAGUGAGGAAGAACGCCUGGUGGUUAAUACCCAUCAGGAAAGACAUCACUCACAGAAGAAGCACCGGCUAACUCCGUGCCAGCAGCCGCGGUAAUACGGAGGGUGCGAGCGUUAAUCGGAAUUACUGGGCGUAAAGCGCGCGUAGGUGGCUUGAUAAGCCGGUUGUGAAAGCCCCGGGCUCAACCUGGGAACGGCAUCCGGAACUGUCAAGCUAGAGUGCAGGAGAGGAAGGUAGAAUUCCCGGUGUAGCGGUGAAAUGCGUAGAGAUCGGGAGGAAUACCAGUGGCGAAGGCGGCCUUCUGGACUGACACUGACACUGAGGUGCGAAAGCGUGGAUAGCAAACAGGAUUAGAUACCCUGGUAGUC
RNAcentral lists this ribosomal RNA (465 nucleotides) under Vreelandella stevensii. Its description in RNAcentral is "partial 16S ribosomal RNA". It matches the Rfam family "Bacterial small subunit ribosomal RNA", at positions 338 to 795 of the family's 1533-position model. Lineage: Bacteria; Pseudomonadati; Pseudomonadota; Gammaproteobacteria; Oceanospirillales; Halomonadaceae. The record is from RNAcentral.